GGCAACGGCCAUACCACGUUGAAAACGCCAGUUCUCGUCCGAUCACUGAAGCUAAGCAACGUCGGGCGCGGUUAGUACUUGGAUGGGUGACCGCUUGGGAACACCGCGUGCUGUUGUCA
Molecule: non-coding RNA, 119 nt
Organism: Agrilus planipennis (emerald ash borer)
Lineage: Eukaryota; Metazoa; Arthropoda; Insecta; Coleoptera; Buprestidae
Source: Rfam